RNAcentral lists this ribosomal RNA (440 nucleotides) under uncultured bacterium. Its description in RNAcentral is "partial 16S ribosomal RNA". It matches the Rfam family "Bacterial small subunit ribosomal RNA", at positions 338 to 795 of the family's 1533-position model. The record is from RNAcentral.
CCUACGGGAGGCAGCAGUGGGGAAUAUUGCACAAUGGGGGAAACCCUGAUGCAGCGACGCCGCGUGAGGGAAGAAGGAAUUCGUUAUGUAAAGCUCUAUCAGCAGGGAAGAAUAUGACGGUACCUGAGUAAGAAGCCACGGCUAACUACGUGCCAGCAGCCGCGGUAAUACGUAGGUGGCAAGCGUUAUCCGGAUUUACUGGGCGUAAAGGGCGUGCAGGCGGGAUAACAAGUCAGAUGUGAAAUCCUGUAGCUUAACCGCAGAACUGCAUUUGAAACUGUUAUUCUUGAGUGUCGGAGAGGUAAGCGGAAUUCCUGGUGUAGCGGUGAAAUGCGUAGAUAUAAGGAAGAAUACCAGUUGCGAAGGCGAAUUGCUGGAACGCAACUGACGCUGAUGCGCGAAAGCGUGGGGAGCAAACAGGAUUAGAUACCCCAGUAGUC